UACGGGGGGGCAAGCGUUGUUCGGAAUUACUGGGCGUAAAGGGCUCGUAGGCGGCCAACUAAGUCAGACGUGAAAUCCCUCGGCUUAACCGGGGAACUGCAUCUGAUACUGGAUGGCUUGAGUUCGGGAGAGGGAUGCGGAAUUCCAGGUGUAGCGGUGAAAUUCGUAGAUAUUCGGAAGAACACCAGUGGCGAAGGCGACUUACUGGACACAUAUUGACGCUGAGGUGCGAAAGCGUGGGGAGCAAACAGG
This 252-nucleotide ribosomal RNA is filed under the name uncultured bacterium. Its description in RNAcentral is "partial 16S ribosomal RNA". It matches the Rfam family "Bacterial small subunit ribosomal RNA", at positions 524 to 776 of the family's 1533-position model. The record is from RNAcentral.